AUGAUGAUUUAGAUAAUUUUCUGUUUAUGGUUUUCAACUGAUUAACCAUGAAGAUAUUAUUCUAGGGCGGUCUGAAAUG
Molecule: small nucleolar RNA, 79 nt
Organism: Trichogramma pretiosum
Lineage: Eukaryota; Metazoa; Arthropoda; Insecta; Hymenoptera; Trichogrammatidae
Product: small nucleolar RNA U43
Exons: 1
Source: RefSeq, a predicted model, not a curated record